AGCCAGUAAUCCAAGCGCUGCUAAUCGGGUGCCAGGCUCACACUUGGCGGUCCACGUCCUCGCAAUCCUUCUUUAUAUCCACGGGUGCUACAGCCUUGAGCCUCCCCGUCCCAUGUGCAUUCCAUCCAGCUUGCUCGUUGCUUCGCCUUUGCGCUCUGCGCCUCUGCUUUAGCCUCUAGUUGGCGGACGGCUGCGCUGUGCAGUCCGCGCUCUUCACCACAUCCCACCGCCUCCCCCGCCCCCGCAGACGCAAGAAACCGGCGGCCAUGGAUCCCCCGUCGGCUCAGGUGAUGUCGGCGACAAACGACUUCCAGGACAAGACCGUGGACGAGUGGUAAGGCGCCUGACUGCUUUUCGCUCAAAUCCGUGUUCUUUCUUCCCACCCAUCCUUCUCCGCGUUCUCGCUCCCUGACCGAUAGGCUCCUGACCAUGUGGUGGCCUGCAGUUGCUCGUGCUGCUACGACUGCUGCUCCAGCAUCCUCGACUUCCUGUGCUGCUCGUCUUGAUCCGACCGGUGCGGCUCCGACCUGUCCCGGCGGAAAAUUCUCAAGGAAAGCGGAGGCCUCGCCAUCACUCAUCACUGAUCCUGAUUUUAGUCCUGGAGUUCGUAGAUUCCUUAGGUCAGCCUUCGGUGAUGGUAUCUCUGUAAGUUUGACUCUAUUCAUCGGUAAGGAAACUUAUAUCAUGUGCUGAAAUACCGUGUUAACCUUCAACCCUGCGGUGAUUUCCUCUCUGGAAAAUUUACCGUGCGUGUAGGCAGAUCGAAUAGCUGUUUGGAGUUCUUACCGGUGACUGCGCUCGUAUUUGACAUACACCGCAUUACAUUUUUUUUCCGCAUAAAUUCAUUUGGUUCUUCUAGAGCCCAGAAGUACAGCUUGCAAAUUUUGCGCCGAGUUCUUAGCAUUCUUUUCUGCGUUUUUUGCGCGCACUGAACCAGAGCACCCCCAAGGCCCCAAGUCCUCUUCCGCAAGCCCAUGACGCGAUGUGAAUGCGAUGCGACAUGAUGGACAUCCUGCAUUCUUUCUCGGUGUUUGGCAGUUUGCUAUUGUUAAAAGUAGGAAGGUGACUCUCCAUUGAUUAAAUGAGUGGUAUAGUUAAAUAUUUAUAAAAUGGGAGAGGAUAUGACCAAAGGUCACUAUGUGUACAUACCUUGUAGUUGAUCACUAAGACAAAUCCCAGUGCAGAUUUCAUAGAGGUUUUAUGCACAUUAAUUAAGGUGCUGUCAGUAUUUUUGAUGAUGUGACAGAGUUAAUGAGGAGAGAGGUUUCAUG
Molecule: long non-coding RNA, 1271 nt
Filed under: Setaria viridis
Lineage: Eukaryota; Viridiplantae; Streptophyta; Magnoliopsida; Poales; Poaceae
Description: long non-coding RNA (SVIR_LNC001020)
Source: RNAcentral